Molecule: long non-coding RNA, 3185 nt
Filed under: Homo sapiens (human)
Lineage: Eukaryota; Metazoa; Chordata; Mammalia; Primates; Hominidae
Description: HSALNT0213610
Source: RNAcentral
CAAAAGUGGGCAUGGCCUGAUGGUAAUAAGCUGGGGGAAACUUAGCAAGGCCUAUUGUUCAGAUUCUUCCUGGUGUCUCUGUGUGUUCAGCUGCUUUCCUCUAGUUCUAGAGAGAAUACCUCUGAAUGAAGGUCUUUAUGAUUUGCUUUAGAUGAAAGUCAGAGGAUUAUUUUAUGGUCUGCUUCAGGGGAGAAGAGUGAGAGAAAGUCAAAGAGAUCUUUCUGCUUCUGCUGCUUUCUCAAAUGCCAAGUUGCUGUAUUUUGGGGUAGUAUGUCCUGAACCCCAUCAGGUACUUGACAUUUCAUGAAGAUCCUGGAAAGAAGAAAGAAAUGGCUUCUAACAAAAAGAAGGGGAGGAUUUCCAGCUCAUUUCUAAUUCAGGCUCAUUGGAGAAGGAAGUGGCAUGGGUGACGAUAAGCAGCAGUUUUUAUGUCUGAAGGAAACUGAAAACAGCAUCUCACUGGGGUGGCCAGGAGCUCUUCUGCUGAAGUCUCUGUGUAUCCAGAAUGCCUGGGAUUGGAUUCUUGUCCUGUUGCCUCUGACUUCCUAGAAGUGGCCUCUGGGCCGUCUUUAUUUAUUAAAUCAUCUGGGUAUGAUCUGGCUCUGAUAUUUUGGCAUUCGGGAGUGGCAGACCAAGCUCAAAUUGCAAUAGUCCUUUAAAAAGAUGUUUCUAAAAGCCAGAUAUGCACUGACAUUUCAGAAAGAACAUUUGUGCCUAAUUUCCAGCUGCCAAGUUAUAGUUCAUCAUUCAGCUUCAUAUUGGAGGCCUUCAGGCUUUGAUUUAUUUAGGAAACAUUGGUGAACAAUGGGAUCAUGAUCUGCAACAUGACAGAUGUAGGAAGUCCAUGUCCCCUAAAGGAGGUUUUCUGGAGACUCCUAACAAUUAAGAGAAUCUGUUCUGUUUCUAAGUUGACAGCAAAUUAUUGAAUUCUGAGUAUCCAGAAUGAGUUUGGGGAGUAAGAGUUGUGAAGGGCAGACAUUAACUGCUUAUUUAAGACAUAAUACCUGUCCUUUGGAAACUUAUGGUUUGUUAGGGGGUAGUGUCCUAGAAACAAUGUAAGACAAUUUGUUACCAAAUGAUAAAUAGAACUUUAAAACAAAAAUUUUCCUACUGUCAGGGAAACUAAGUUUUCCUUUUCUUUGAAGGCAUGGAGAAGUGCCGAGCAGUGUGUUACUUUUCCUCUAUUCCCUGGUUCGUUCCUCACCCACGUCAGUUUUUCUUCAUAUUUGUCUUUAUUGGAACCCACAAAGUUUAUUCAAAGUUAUUAUCAGUUUCUUCCCUUUUGUGAAGAAAAUUCAAUUUUUAUGAAUUAGAUUUUUAAGAUGGCUUGUAAUGUACCCAUACAGCCAGGUAUAAGAAAUUACCUGGUAGCUUCACUGAUGCAGAUGACAGAUACCUGUGGGGACUUACAGUCUAGUUGGGAGAGUAAUCACACACAUACACACACACACACACACACACACCCCAGAUUUGGCAUGAGAAGAACAACGCUGAAGUCGAUAUCUGCCUAUUUUGUUUAUAAUGGUGUGACCUUGGGCAAGUCACUUAAUUUUUCAAUGUAUUUUCUCAUCUAUAAGAUGGGAGAUAUCUUAUAUCCUAAGGCUAUUGAUUAUGUCAGAUGGAAUCUCAUCUGAGAAAAUACCUUAGAAAUUGUACAGUAUGAUAAAAAUAUUGACUUUUAUUUUCUAAAUCAUACAUAGCAAGAUGCAGGACUAGUUUAAUUGUUGUCACUUUUAGAAUCCGAUUUUCACAUCAUCAUUCCAUUUCUUAUGAUAUUUAACAUGACAAGCAAAAGACCUUGUUCAAAGGGGAAGAACAAAUAAGAUUAAUUCUCUGUAAAUCCUUUAAAAUUUUAUUAUCCAUCUCUUCACUGGGGAAAUGUCUAGAUACAUUUUCCUAAGUGGUUCCAUCUUUCUGUAAAUGGCUAUUGACCUGCUGAGUGCAGUUUUGCUUUCAGAGAAGCAUUGCACUUGGUGUGUGAUUUGAGUUUGGGAUCAUGACCUUAUUUCCUUUGCACUUGAUUGCUUUACUUCACCAACUGCAUCCCUGAUUUUGAUAUUAUCUGUGGCUAGCUCCUUUCAUGAUUUUGGGAAUGGCUACCUCUCAGUUUUCUGAAUAUUUUUUAGUACUUGCUGUUACAAUGUAGACAUUGCAAUAAUGUUCUAAAAUUAUAUGUACAUUUACUUACUCAACACAAAUUUAAAGAGUACCUGAUAAGAGCUGGUACUCUGAGUACUGAGCACUGAGUACCUGGUAGAAUCAUUAAUACAGAAGACAAAGCUCUGGCCUCAAGGAUUCUGCAGUACAGCAGCAGGGAGGUAAAACACACAUACCACAUUUGUUUACUGCAAGUGUGGGAGGUAGAUAGGUGUCCCCUAAAAACAUGUGUUCCCAGAACCUGUGACGUGACCUUACUUGGAAAAAGGGUCUUUGCAGAUGUUUAAGUUAAUAAUCUUGUGAUGAGAUCAUCCUGGAUUGUACAGGUGGGCCCUAAAUCCAGUGAAAACUAUCUUUGUAAGAGACAGAUGAGGAGAAGACGUAGAGACUUGUGAAACAGAAGGCCAUGUGAAGACAGAGGCAGAGAUUGGAGGGAUAUAACCAGAAAGAAUGCCCAUAGGCAGCAGAAAUUGGAAGAGGUAAGAAUUGGAUUGUUGCCUAAAGCCUUCAGAAGGAGUGUGACCCUGUCAGCAUUUGGAUCUCCGACUCUGGCCUUUAAAACUGAGAGAGAAAAAAAUUUCUGUUGUUUUAAGCCAGUGAGUUUGUGGUAAUUUUUUAAUGGCAGCCAUGAGAAACGAAUACAACAAGGAACAGGAUAAUCUACAAAAUACAUGAAUUAUACAAGAGCAUCAGAAGUUUGUGGAAAUUUAGUAUAAAAAACACCUCUUAUUGAAAGUGUGAUUGUUACUAUACAGUCAGUCCAGAAGCACUGAAUUAUGAAAAUAUCAUUGCCUGGUAUGUGUCAGUUAUGUUUAUAAUAAUAUAAAUAAUCUAAGCACACAUUGUGUCCUGUAAUUUUAAUUUUACUCUAACAUCCCAUGCAAAGGUUUAACUGUAGGUGGCCAUUUCAUGAAACAAAUGCCAAUUUCUCAUGGACCAAUGUUCUCCCAGCAGAGGAAAUAUAUCUUCCUGCCCACACUGGGCUACAACAUCACUAAAAUUACAAGCAGAAAGGAGGUCUGCAUUUC